UAAGUGAUGACGUCACAGUUCCUUCGAUACGCAUAACAACGAUCCCACUGGGGACAAACAAAAGUAGCGUCGUCUCCACCGACCCAGUUGUCAGUGGCAACAUAUAGGAAUCGUGUACAUUUCUUCGUUUCUUCUUUGCUGUUUUCAGUGAGUGUUUUGUUUUCUCUUUGUCCUUGAUCUCGACGAUGUUGUCGUGCUCAUUACCUUACUGAGACGUCUCUUGUGACUGUAGCCAGUGUCAUGGAGUAUUUUAUUGGCGUGACAAGGUAGAUCGCCGAGAUCGAGCGUGAAAAACGCUCUGCAUUAGUAGCUCCUGUAGAAUGUUUUCUGGGUUGGCCUAUCCAUGGUCAACAAAACCAAGGUGCAAGACAGCAUGAGAGAUCGUGUUAACGAUGUGAACUCCAAAAGAUAAUCUGGCCAAAUUUAUUGUAACUAGAGAGUGCAAUCGUGCACUGCUUGGGGCCCAUCCCAAUGUCAUCACAUGGCUGUGGUGACUAGUGUAUAUCUGGGAGAAUUUUUCCUCGACUGAUACGGAGUGCAGAUGGAUCGAUUAUGAGAAAUGCGAACAUGUGAAGUUCAAGGCUAGAUGCACUUCACAUUCGGCGUGCGAUCUCAGCGUCUGGGACCUGAUGAAGUCUUGGUUGGAUGAUUAUUCAAGCCUGAUACUACUCGACACACCAAUGUACAUGUCAAUGUAAUUUUUUCAGAGCUGCACUAUUUACGUGUUGAUGCUUACUUCGGUGUUAGCGUGUUUCCCCCGGAUUGUUUCUAUCAUCAUGAUCGUGUGUUCUUGGGCUGAGCGAGCACAUGCACAAGUGUGCAGCUAUAACCCUGUGUAUCUUUGGUUACACUUUGUUCUGCAAUGCAUGUACCUUGUAACAUUAUGUGCUUGCACUGCUUUGUCUGGCCUGCGUAUUUCAGGACUAUUCAGUGCAUUAGACCCAGUUUUGUUUGGUUGCCGGAUGACCUCUUGUUGCGUCGCUCUGUAUUUGUAUUCAUCAAUUUUUGGGCUUGAGAAUUGAGCUGUUGUGUGGUUUCCAAUAUGAAAACAUCAUGCUGGUGCUCUGUGUUUCGAUUAUCGACUGUCGGAGCAGUCAUGCAUUUAUUAGCAGAACGGUCAAUACUGUAGUCUUUUCA
Sycon ciliatum is the source of this 1137-nucleotide long non-coding RNA. RefSeq lists it as uncharacterized. The transcript is spliced from 3 exons. The record is from RefSeq and is a predicted model, not a curated record. NCBI's taxonomy places the organism in Eukaryota, Metazoa, Porifera, Calcarea, Leucosolenida, Sycettidae.